Molecule: non-coding RNA, 338 nt
Organism: Neoarius graeffei (lesser salmon catfish)
Lineage: Eukaryota; Metazoa; Chordata; Actinopteri; Siluriformes; Ariidae
Source: the annotation of a RefSeq genome assembly
GGUCAGGUGACUGUGACUCAGACUCCUUCAGUGCAAACUGUUGCUCCAGGAAACACAGUCACCAUCAACUGUAGAACCAGUAGCAGUGUGGAUGGUGGUUAUUAUCUCGCCUGGUACCUGCAGAAACCUGGAGAAGCUCCUAAACCCCUGAUCUACUAUGCUACUUACUUACAGUCAGGGACUCCAGCUCGUUUCAGCGGCAGUGGAUCGAAGACUGACUUCACUCUGACCAUCAGUGGAGUCCAGACUGAAGAUGCAGGAGAUUACUACUGUCAGAGUUAUCAUAGUAGCAAUGUGUUCACACAGUGUUAGAGCGUCGUACAAAAACCUGGGUCAGU